AUUGAACGCUAGCGGGAUGCUUUACACAUGCAAGUCGAACGGCAGCGCGGACUUCGGUCUGGCGGCGAGUGGCGAACGGGUGAGUAAUGUAUCGGAACGUGCCCAGUAGCGGGGGAUAACUACGCGAAAGCGUAGCUAAUACCGCAUACGCCCUACGGGGGAAAGCAGGGGAUCGUAAGACCUUGCACUAUUGGAGCGGCCGAUAUCGGAUUAGCUAGUUGGUGAGGUAACGGCUCACCAAGGCGACGAGCCGUAGCUGGUUUGAGAGGACGACCACCCACACGGGGACUGAGACACGGCCCACACCCCUACGGGAGGAGGAGGUGGGGAUUUUUGGACAAGGGGGCCACCCCUGACCCACCCACCCGGCGUGUGGAAGGAGGGCCUUCGGGUUUAAAAGCCUUUUGGGAGGGAAAGAAACGGGGCGGCCAAAUCCCCCGUGACACGGACGUUACCUAAAAAAUAAGCCCCGGCUAACUACGUG
This 484-nucleotide ribosomal RNA is filed under the name uncultured bacterium. Its description in RNAcentral is "partial 16S ribosomal RNA". It matches the Rfam family "Bacterial small subunit ribosomal RNA", at positions 29 to 507 of the family's 1533-position model. The record is from RNAcentral.